AGAAAACCUCCUUAAAUGUUUAUUGGAUUGAAUAGAAUUGAAUUAAUCCGGGACCACAGGGAGCCAGGCAAAGUCCUCCAAGCAGUGGCAUGCCACAGCUGGCUCCAGCUGUGUACGAAAGAUUUUGUGAGCUGUUUGAGAUCACAGAGGUACCCUGAAAUUGCCUUGAUGGGGCUGUUUACAGCAUGAAAAUCAACAAAUACUGCAAAUCCAACUUCUAGUAUCUCUCUGAACUGAGUGCGAAGCAUUCAUCGGCACACUAUAAUCCAUCAUUGCAUACCUGUGGCUUUUUUCUUAUGACACUGACUUAUUAAAGAGAACAGAUCAGUUGCUCUGUAGAAUGUGUUGCUUUCUACAUGUGUCUGACUGUGAUAGCCCACAUAUUUCCUAUAUACUGGAGGUUAUAUCAAAAGGCUAAAUAGAUUCAAGUUAAACAUUCCUGGCUUUUAAUUGUUUUAGAUAUAUAAUGUGAUUUUCCAAAAGACACAUAAUAUUUGGUUGACUCACCACUAAUGAUACUAACAUUGGCCUCUAGAUUAAAUUUAGUAAGAGCAAUUCAGUCCCUCCAUUGUAGAGUUAUGUUUUUC
Bos indicus x Bos taurus (hybrid cattle) is the source of this 587-nucleotide long non-coding RNA. NCBI's taxonomy places the organism in Eukaryota, Metazoa, Chordata, Mammalia, Artiodactyla, Bovidae. The record is from Ensembl.